ACUUAAUCGAAGAAAUAUCAAAGUUUGGGGUUUAAUUGGGGUCCAAAUUGCAAACAUUAAAAUCCAAGGACUAGAUUGAAAAUGACACGGAAAUGCAAGGUUCUAAUUACAUUUUAACCAGGGACUUGAUUGCCAAAAUUACAAGAAUUACAGGGACCAAAUUGAAGACAGCCUUUAGAACUGGAAAACGGAGUCGUUUUGCAGCGACUGUUCACUGUCUUCUUCCUCCGUUUCAUCAGUUUCCAGCCAACGCUUGAGUUUCAUCAUUGAAGGCAACCAGUUACAGGGCAUUUAAGUGGCGACCGUUACAGCGCCGAUCGAUCUUUGGCCUUAUAAAAGCUGGGCAAAGGCAACCUCGCGACAGGACCAGGGGGUUGGAGAGUUGGAGAGAGGAGAGGACCGAAAAAGCCACUGGUGAUCACAGAACCGGGGAGAUUAGAAAAAAAAGACUUUCGUUCCUCUGUUUCUUCUCAAAGAAACAGAGGAGGCUAAAGAAGAAAACCACGAGCAGAGGAAAAAACCAGCGAAGACAGGGGAGAGACAGAGCGGGACAGAGGAGAAAAACCCAGCAAAAAACCGAGAGAAAGAAAAUACACAGCCAAAAACAAAACAGAGAAAACGCAAGCAUAGAAACCCAGAAAACCCAACAUUAACAUCACAAUCUCCUCGAUUCCCCCUGCAAAUCAGAAAAGAAAAAAAACCAAGCAACAAGCCGUGACCUUCAUCAUCACCGAAACAAGAGGAAAACAAAAGGGGACAGUCAUACACAGUCAAGAGCGAAAUCACUCUGCUGCCAGCCUCCUCACGAUCUCCAGAAGCAGGUAAGCCAUUCUCAUUCUCUCUUCAUUCUUAUUUGAAUUGUGCAAAUGCAAGAACUGUGCGAAGGUAAUUUAAUUACCUUCGCACAGUUGCUGCACGCGUGAAAUUGCUUCACGCGUGCAGUUGUAAUUAAAACAAGCCAGGCCACUGGCUUGGGCCAGUCUUGGGCCCGGCCCCCAAAAAAUAUAGAAAAAAAAAAAGUUUAGAAAAAAAAUUUGCAUGUCUUAAUUUUUUUUUUAGGGCCACGAAUAUUUACCAACGCCAGAGUUGGAUUUAUUCGUGGUCGAAUUUUUAAAUUUGGAAUUAUGUGGUGGAAUAUUUACCGACGCCAGAGUUGGAUUUAUUCGUGGUCGAAUUUUUAAUUGAAAUUAUUUGUGGUGAAAUUUUUACCAACGCCAGAGUUGGAAUUAUUCGAGCUCUAAUAUUCACUGGCGCCAGAGUCAGGAAUAUUAUAAACAAAUCAUCAUAGCAUAAAUUAAUAAAUAUUUGGCAAUUUAAGACAAAACCAACAAUGCAGUCUGCCUUAGGCAGAACGUUUAAGGGUGAUAAUAUCUUCCCUUUUACGUAACCAAUCCCGAGCCAUAGAAUCUCUGUUGACCAGUUAGGGUUCCUAGUGACCAUAAUACUAGGUGGCGACUCCUCAAACAAGACUUUUUUCCUAAAAGAACCGGAUGUCAGAUAUCUGUUCUUUUUUCUAUAAUUCAAGAGAAUUUAUUUUUUAGGGUCGCCGCGAUGUCGGGUGCGACAGAAUGGCGACUCCACUGGGGACCCUAGGAUUAAGCUUUGUCUUUUGUCUUAUUAUUGCUAUUUUUUUUUUUGUUUUUUGUUGUGUUUAUUUGUUUAUUUUUCUUGUAUUUACUGCUUUAGCAUGCAUCCUUAUUUAUGUUGUCAUGCAUCACUUUGAGAGCACACACUUGACAACCUAGGAUAAGUGGGAAAGUAACGGUACCCCAAUGGCUUUAGCCUGGGUAAGACUCGUGAAACCAUCCAACUCUCGCUUGAUUGUUUACUUGGAAGUGGUUGAUAUGCCAAACUGAUAUUACUCAGGGCCUCUAUCUUCACACUACUUGUAAGCCUCAUAUCGACCUUUCAUGGACGAUCACUGAGCAUGCGAAAGACCCUUUGAGACUAGAUAAUGACCAACCCCUUGAUGCACUCAGUAAUUAGGAUCUUCCAACUAGGUAGUCACCCCGUAAAGGGCAAGUUCGCAUUUCAUACGCAUUUUUUUAUUUUUUAUUAUUGCUUUAGCAUUUUUGCAUAAUUGCAUGAUUUACAUUUAGCAGGUUGAAAUAUAGGUCCCUCAUUGAAACUCAUUUAUAACACUCGUUCGAGAAAAAGACAAAUGGAAAACGAAGAAAGAGCCCAGUUGGAAGCCCAACAUCAAAAAGAGGUGGACAAUCUUAAGGAAGAAGUCGCAAGGCUUACUAGUCUACUCGAGCAGGCCUUGAGAGAUAAAUCCGGAAAAGCAACACUUAUAGCUCAGCCUGGAGAUAUGCAUGUAACUCAUUUCGAUCCACAGAAUCUGGGGGCAAAUAGGGAGUCAUCUGAAUUUCAACAAGCUAUGCAUUUCCAGCCAGCAUACCCUUCAAGAAUUUCAUCUACCACUGAUUCCGCCGAGAAAGAAUCUCAAAAGGGCAAGAUGGUGAAAGAAAAGGAUUUGGAAAAAUGGACUACCCUAGAGAAGAGGAUAAGGGCAGUUGAGGGAAACCAUUUGUGUGACUUGACGAAAGCUGUCAAUAUGUGUUUGGUGCCCAACGUUGUCAUUCCCAAAAAGUUUAGAGUGCCAGAAUUUUUCAAAUAUACGGAACUCAAUGCCCUAUAACUCAUCUCAAAGCAUACUGCAACAAAAUGGCUGAGGUGGUGAUGAUGAGAAACUUGAUUCAUUUUUUCAAGACAGCUUGAGUGACGCUGCCCUCACUUGGUAUAUGCGGUUGGACAAUACCAAGGUUAAAAAAUGGAAGGACUUAGUUGAUGCCUUCAUGAGGCAAUAUAAGUUCAAUAUAGACGUGGGUCCUGAUCGGUUAAGCUUGCAAGCUAUGGAGAAGAACAACAAGGAGUCCAUAAGAGAAUAUGCCCGGAGAUGGAGCGAGGUAGCUGCACAAGUUAAUCCUCCCAUGUUGGAAAAAGAGAUGAUCAGUUUAUUUUCCAAUACAUUUAAAGCUCCGUACUUUGAAUACUUGGUUAUAAGCUCUGCACAACAUUUCACUGACUGGUUGUUAUAGCGAGAGGAUUGAACAAGCCAUUGGUUAGGUAAGAUUGCUAACCCGACUGAGAAGAACAGUUUCACUGAAGGUGGUUGCCAAGACACUUAUCAUUCCUAUAGUUAAUUGCUUCACACCAACUCUCAGAAAUCAACUAUCUUGAAGAUAAAGCUAUGGUGAUAUUAGGUCAAGAAUGAUCUACAAAUGACUUCAAUUGAUUGUUGCCCUUGUUAAGGAGAAUGAAUGAUUGAUUCUAGAAAUUCCAACCAAUGAUCACUAAAUGUUUAGCCCCUUUAUAUGUUAUCAUGCCAGUAUUCACAGCCCAAGAUGUAGUCAUAAGUUCUUUCUUGUUGAACUUAUUUUCCAAAGUUUCAAUGAAAUAAUGAGUUUGUCAUUCAAUCAUGUUUAUGAUUAUCAUUAUUCAUUUUUUUCUGAGAGAGUUUUCUUACAAAGAUUCACAAACACAUCUUUGAAGCCUUGUGCGAUCUCAUAGACGCAAUUCAUCUCUUUUACCAAAAAUCAGUUUCCCUAUUGGAGUUUUGAAAAAAUUGAUCUGGCAUUUUGAUUUCAAAAAAUAAUUUGAUGUUUAUUCAAAAAUGAUAUUUUUGACAUUCUACUUGUAGAAUGACAAUUGAAUCAAGCAACUCCUUUAUAAAGGUGACCAAACUCUAAAAAAAAGAAAGAAAAAGAAAUAAAUAAACACCCUUACCCCAUGACUCUUGAAACAUGUGUUUUUAAAUGCAUGAAUAAUGGUAUGUAGUGAACUCGCAUGACUUAUGAAACACAUCUUUGCAAAGACCAAACCAUCAUACUGGAUGAGGUCAAAGUUUAUUGAUCUUAACUGCUUGCGCUUGAAAUGAGGAAAGGCCAUCUUUGUUAUUCCUUUCACAUUCUGAAAUAAAUACAUCCUUUGCGAUCCCUUUUUGAGCCUAAAUAAUUUUUCUUUCAAAAAAAAAUCCCGACUAAGAUCACACCCCACACUGGGGGCAAGUGAAAUUUCAAUGAUCAAGAAAAAUGAUAAAGUCGUGAGAAAGCCAAAAGGCAAAAGAGCCCAAGAAACUCAAAUGCUAGGGGGCAUGCCCAAAUCACAAGAAAAAGUGAUAACUAAGAUAAAAUGAGUAUGCUCUAGCAAAGCAAUGAAAAAGAAAAAAGAGGGGCAAAUCAAAGAAGAACAGCAAAAGAAAUAUGAAUGAUGCCAAAAUUCAAACUAUUGAUCGGGAUCUUUAGUCUUUGAAACCCUGAAACACUCUUUGAGCCUUAUAUUCUUUUCUUUCAUAGCCAAAAACCACAGCCUACGUUACGUGCCUGUAGAAGUCCUUUCUAAUCAAGCAAGCAAGCAACCUAGAACAAUAAACAAUGCUCUCAAAAUGCAAAGAAUACUUUUUCAUAAGAUUCAUGACAUCAAGAAUAAACUACUCAUUAUUAUUCAUGCUGAUAAAAAAUAAAUGUUCAAAAAGAGACAAGUUUUUCUCAUAUAAAACCUCGAGCUUUUUUCUCGAGCCCUUCACUUUGAAACAAAAGGUCAUCUCAUGACUGAAGAUCUCAUUGCCAAACACAAGAGCAAAUAACCUUUUUUUUUCCAAGAAAGAAAAUAACCAAGGAGUUGCAAAGAUUUCAAAAGCAAAUUGUUUUAGAUUCACAUCGAAAUAAUUUUUGUUUUCAAAAUGCAAGAUCAAGAUUUCAAGAUUCAUUCUAGACCCAUAUUCCUUCACCAAACUGAAAAUGAGAGAAUGGCCUUCUAAAACCAUUAUUUGUCUAAGUCGCUGACAGAGCAAACUUAGGGGCAAUAACCAGUACAAGGGGGCAACAUUGUGUUUAAGGAAAAUCUAUCAUUCCUUACAACAAGACAAAGGGGCAUUUUGGUUUAUGAAAGACAGUUUGAUCCUUUCAACAAGUGAUACCGAAUGUUUUUAGCAGUGAGACAAGGGGUAAUAAAUGAUCCUCUCAAAUUAUUUGACGAGUAAAAAAAAAUCUUUAGCAAGCAAGUGGGUCACGAUGGGCACCACAAAGGCUGAGUUGUGCAAACAAAUCUGGAAAUAGAUUUACAUGGGCUAACUCGAGUGGGCUACAAGCCAAGUGACAAAGAUGACCCGAAUCAGAGGUAGCAAGUCCUCAUCAGUCAAGCAACAAGAAGACUAAGAAGAAAUGGAGGCCUAUAUUUCAAAACAGGUAAAGAUGCAUGCAUAUCAUCUAAACUUCGAGACAUUGAACAAUGAGUUUUGCAAAUUUCAUAUGAGAAAAUUCCAACGAAAUCCAUCAAGUGGAAGGCCAACUUGAUAUGGCCAAGAUUGAAUUUGCUUUUGAAAUUUUUUUAUUUUUUGAGAAUUUUUCAUCCUGGGCAGGCCGCCCAUGAGAAUUAGGCCACCUGAAAAAUCUCUGUGUUUUUCCACCUUUUUCGAGUGCGCCUUCGAGCCAUCGACCAUCAUAGGUAGUGCAUUUCAUAUCCUACCUCAAUUCAAGCGCACCUUCGAGCCCUCGUCUUAUCUUCAUUCGAGCGCGCCUUCGAGCCCUCACCUCAUUUCUUUUCGAGCGCGCAUUCGAGCCCUUGACCAUCAAAGGUAGUGCAUUUCCUAUCCUACCUCCUUUUGAGUGCGCCUUCGAGCCCUCACCUCAUUUCUUUUCUAGCGCGCCUUCAAGCCCUCGACCAUCAAAGGUAGUGCAUUUCCUAUCCUACCUCCUUUUGAGUGCGUUUUCGAGCCCUCAUUCCCUUUCGAGCACACCUCCGAGCCCUCAUUUCCUUCAAGCUUCCAUCUUUUGGAAUAGUGCGCCUUCGAGCCCUAUCAUGUCAUUUUUUCCACCUCCUUCAAAUCUAUGUGAAUUAGAUCAUUUUUAGAAAAAUCCUCGUAUUUUUUCUCACUGGGCUGGUAACCCAUUACAAUAUACCAACUGGGCAGGUAACCCAUUACAAUGUGACCAACUGGGGUGGUAACCCAUUACAAUAUUCCAACUGGGCAGGUAACCCAUUACAAUGUGACCAACUGGGCUGGUAACCCAUUACAAUAUACCAACUGGGCAGGUAACCCAUUACAAUGUGACCAUCCUAAAAAAAAAUCAUCCUCGUAUUUUUUUUUUUUCAAUCAUCGGGCAGGUCGCCUGGAAAAACUAGACCAUUCGCGAAAUCCUUCUCGUUUCUUUUAUCAUCGGGCAAGUUGCCCAAAACAAUUUGAUAAAAAACAACAAAACAAAAAAAAAACAAAAAAAAACAAAAAAAGGUGGAUCGUCUUCCAAAUGGCUUGUUUCUUGAUUUCUACAUCUCUUUGUAAAGGUCGUGUGUCAAUCUACUGUUGUCGAAGUUUUCAAGAAAAAAAAAAAAAAAGAAGCAAAAGUCCUCUCUGUAUCUACUUUUCUUUAUAAAUUUACUACACAAAGCUAAAAGAAAAUAAAAUUUUCUAAUAUCUUUGCAUAGUAAAUAUUAUAAAGAGGGGGCAACUGUCAUAACCCAAUUUUUGACCAUUCUUAUUUUUAUUAUUAUUAUUUUAUUUACUGAAAAGAAAAAAAAAUGAUGAUGAUAAGAAAAAUAAUAAUGAUGAAAAAAAGUAAAAUGAAAUAAAUGAAGAAUGAAUUAAAAUUUGGGGGAAUCAUGGUUGGAAGUUUUGGGGUUUAAUGAAACUUUGUAAUUAAUCCAAUCAAGGGUUUAAUUGGAGAAUUGAUAAGUUUUGAGACUUAAUUGAGCUUGGAAUUAAUUUAAUUAAUCCAAUUAAGGGUUUAAUUGGAGAAUUGAUAAGUUUUGAGACUUAAUUGAGCUUGAAAUUAAUUUAAUUAAUCUAAUCGGGGACUUAAUCGAAGAAAUAUCAAAGUUUGGGGUUUAAUUGGGGUCCAAAUUGCAAACAUUAAAAUCCAAGGACUAGAUUGAAAAUGACACGGAAAUGCAAGGUUCUAAUUACAUUUUAACCAGGGACUUGAUUGCAAAAUUACAAGAAUUACAGGGACCAAAUUGAAGACAGCCUUUAGAACUGGAAAACGGAGUCGUUUUGCAGCGACUGUUCACUGUCUUCUUCCUCCGUUUCAUCAGUUUCCAGCCAACGCUUGAGUUUCAUCAUUGAAGGCAACCAGUUACAGGGCAUUUAAGUGGCGACCGUUACAGCGCCGAUCGAUCUUUGGCCUUAUAAAAGCUGGGCAAAGGCAACCUCGCGACAGGACCGGAGGGGGUUGGAGAGUUGGAGAGAGGAGAGGACCGAAAAAGCCACUGGUGAUCACAGAACCGGGGAGAUUAGAAAAAAGACUUUCGUUCCUCUGUUUCUUCUCAAAGAAACAGAGGAGGCUAAAGAAGAAAACCACGAGCAGAGGAAAAAACCAGCGAAGACAGGGGAGAGACAGAGCGGGACAGAGGAGAAAAACCCAGCAAAAAAAAACCGAGAGAAAGAAAAUACACAGUCAAAAACAAAACAGAGAAAAUGCAAGCAUAGAAACCCAGAAAACCCAACAUUAACAUCACAAUCUCCUCGAUUCCCCCUGCAAAUCAGAAAAGAAAAAAAACCAAGCAACAAGCCGUGACCUUCAUCAUCACCGAAACAAGAGGAAAACAAAAGGGGACAGUCAUACACAGUCAAGAGCGAAAUCACUCUGCUGCCAGCCUCCUCACGAUCUCCAGAAGCAGGUAAGCCAUUCUCAUUCUCUCUUCAUUCUUAUUUGAAUUGUGCAAAUGCAAGAACUGUGCGAAGGUAAUUUAAUUACCUUCGCACAGUUGCUGCACGCGUGAAAUUG
RNAcentral lists this long non-coding RNA (7724 nucleotides) under Populus tremula. Its description in RNAcentral is "long non-coding RNA (PTRE_LNC000064)". The record is from RNAcentral. Lineage: Eukaryota; Viridiplantae; Streptophyta; Magnoliopsida; Malpighiales; Salicaceae.